RNAcentral lists this long non-coding RNA (2890 nucleotides) under Betta splendens (Siamese fighting fish). RNAcentral describes it as "lncRNA (ENSBSLG00000022923.1)". The record is from RNAcentral. Lineage: Eukaryota; Metazoa; Chordata; Actinopteri; Anabantiformes; Osphronemidae.
AUGAUUCAACCAAACCCAGCAGCUCUGCUCUGUCUUCACUUCGUAAUGAGCCACGUUAACACAGGGAGUCCAGUUGACUACAGGGAUAUUCUGGUACCAAAGGGAGACUCUGUCACGCUCACGUGCAACACAUCAAAAGAAAAUUCAACACAAAUUAUGUGGAAAAAAGACAGAUUUCAUUUUGCUUAUUUAUUCUCAAAUCAUGCGAAUGUUUCAAAUUUCACCUCACACAGACUGAUAAUAGACCCUCACUCACCAUCAGUGCUGAAUAUAUCUAAUGUUCAGUAUGAAGACGCAGGACUUUACACGUGUGAUGUAACUAGUGCUACAGAUGGUGUAAAAAGCAUAAGGUGGAAUUUAACUGUAUUUGAGGAAUCUGAAGGUAGGUACAGUAUCACUGAUUUCUACAGAACAUGUUGAAGCUGAAACUGCAGCUGCUUUAAAUAAUUUCCACCUGCUUUUGUACAGAACUCAGUACUUACACUCCAUUAUGGUGUUCAACACUUGUAGCUGUAGUUCUUCUGAGUGGCUUCAUUUUGUUUGUCUACAUUUACAGGUUAGUCCUUUUUUUGAUAUUUAGAUCUAUAAAAUAUAUUUCUCUUUCAGCCAAAUUACCUUAAACUGUUAGUUCAUCUAAUUUAGAUGAACUGAACUGAUCCAUUCAUAAUUCCAUUUUUUUAAUCAAGCUUUUUUAUAUUGAAUAUUGUAUCUAUCUAUUAGUUUUUCAUACUUCAUGAGGACGUUUUCAGACAACUUGUUUUGUCUGACCACCACAAGCUAAUGUUUACAAAGGAGACGAUUAAAGCAUUAUUCCUCAUUAGAUGAUUAAACCCAGUUUAAACUAACUGAAGGACUUCAACAGCUCUGUGAUGCCAGCUUAAUUGUUGAUCAUGUCUUUAUCUCAGGACAAAAUGUCGGCUCAGGAGGCAGAAUCAGGAACCAAACCAGAACCAGCCAAACCUUCAAUCAGAUGAGGUCAGAACUUUGCUGUCACUAAAUCUGUCACAUUUUAUGGCUUCAUGUUCUUUUUAGAGACUUUUUUUGUUUUUGAUGUCUUACUUUCUGUCUCUACAGCUGCUUGUUUCUCAACCACAGCGUCACAGAGGUCACAGAAACAGCUGCCACUAUGAGAGAAUCAAUUCAUUAUAUAAUUUAUAAUCCCCUCUGUGAAAAAACAAUGUUCCAACAGUAUUUUUCAUUUAAAUUCUUUUUACAUUUCCUAUGUGCUUUCACUUAAUCUAUGUGUAUUAUUGUCCAAACAAGCUUGUAGACAUAAUGUGUAGAAGUUUCUUAAGAAUUAAACAUGUGAAACAUGUUGACGUCUCUUCAUUUCAUUGAGUUCAUCACAACCUGCUGUCAGAAGUCUUACAAGUAUUUAACGACAUGUUGCGCCUUACAGUCACAGUUGUUCACAAAGGUGUUCACCACAGUAAGAGGCGGUUUCCUGAGCUCACUAACAUUUCUAGCACUACCCAACUAUAACUGACUCCUCAAAUGUAAUAACAGCGAAUAGUAUAUCUACUAUUACCAAUAUAGUCUAUCUAUACAGUAUUGGUAAAUACAGUUUUUUUUAACACGGUGCUUUGAUUAAAUGCGGUUUGUUGUAUUUUUUUCUCAUUUUUAAAAAGAGAAACGAGUAGUGCCAGUUUUUUUUAUAAUCACUUAAACAACUCAUAGGCUGCAGACAAAACCUCAGUGUACACAAGCUCCCCCUCCAUUUCAGACACAGCAUUGACCCAUUCUGAAACAGUUCAAUCCACACUACCUAACAAGAGUUCUGCAGCCUGCUGCACACAUGGAGCCGUCUAUGAGGCCCUAGUGAAAGUAAGGGAAGAAAAAGUUAAAUACUGUACUAACCUGUGAGGUAGAACUGGGCUAGUAUUUUAUUGUUUUAACACAAUAUGACUGAUGUCAAUGAGGUCAAUGUAAUCAUAAUGUUUGAAAUAUAUAUGUGCAACACACGACUCACCAACUCUAUCUGCCUCAGUUACCACUGAUCACCUCAAUCAGGUGUGUUCAGUCAAUCAGCAGCUGAAGAAGCUAACUGACACACCUGAUGAAGGUGAUCAGCAAGGAGAGUUGGAAAACCAGCAGGGACACCGGGCCUCACGGACCAGGAAGGCCCACCCCGGAUCUAGAUGCUUUGUAGUGAUGGGUCCGGCAAGACCGAUGCGUUGGUGCAUGCGUCGAGCACAUAGAGCAAAACCUUGUGUCGAGUUAUGAUAGAUGUUCACUUCAUCAACUGUAUCUAAAAAUAUCAAUUUUAAAUUUAAAUGAAGAUAUGAAAUGAUACUAUAUAAAAUGACUUUAUAAAUUAUAUUAUUAUGAAAUUAUAUUAUUGUAUAUAUUAGUCAUCAAAUCAGUGUCAGCUGAGUCUGACUAGGCUGUGUGUAGGGAUUUUUAAAGUCCAGCAGGUGUCAGUAUUCAGUCACACAUUAUCGACACAGUUUCAAUACAGUUUAGCAAUGUGUCGAAACGCCUCUUAAUGCCUCAUCUACCCAUCACUAGUUACAAGCAAUAACAAGCCAGUGCCAUAGCAACCCCUUAGCGGUAUGCAAAGCAUUGCUUUAAGGGGUUGCUAUGACACUGGCUUAUAUAACCAAGCAUUUAAUCAACAUUUGUGUCAAAGGAGCUCAGUUUGCUUACUUUCUGCUGGAAACUUGUAAUUCACAAUGACUACAUGACCGCAGUCUUACAUGAGGAUAAUCACUUAUAAAAGACCUCGCUAUGGACCUCCUCCUUUUCCUGCUAAACCUGAUCUGGACUGUGAAAGGUGCAUGAACAACACUUUACUUUUUAGUGAUAAACUAGAUUAUAGUCGAACGAAGGUCGCGGGAAACGACUUCAAUACUGGAGAACAAGAGCAAUAAAGGCCACAGAGUCAGGUACA